This 262-nucleotide ribosomal RNA is filed under the name uncultured bacterium. RNAcentral describes it as "partial 16S ribosomal RNA". It matches the Rfam family "Bacterial small subunit ribosomal RNA", at positions 793 to 1055 of the family's 1533-position model. The record is from RNAcentral.
GUCCACGCCCUAAACGAUGUCAACUGGUUGUUGGGAAGGUUCCUUCUCAGUAACGUAGCUAACGCGUGAAGUUGACCGCCUGGGGAGUACGGCCGCAAGGUUGAAACUCAAAGGAAUUGACGGGACCCGCACAAGCGGUGGAUGAUGUGGUUUAAUUCGACGCAACGCGAAAACCUUACCUACCCUUGACAUGUCUGGAAUUCUGCAGAGAUGUGGAAGUGCUCGAAAGAGAACCAGAACACAGGUGCUGCAUGGCCGUCGU